UUUAUGGAGAGUUUGAUCCUGGCUCAGGAUGAACGCUGGCGGCGUGCCUAAUACAUGCAAGUCGAGCGAACAGAUAAGGAGCUUGCUCCUUUGACGUUAGCGGCGGACGGGUGAGUAACACGUGGGUAACCUACCUAUAAGACUGGAAUAACUCCGGGAAACCGGGGCUAAUGCCGGAUAACAUUUAGAACCGCAUGGUUCUAAAGUGAAAGAUGGUUUUGC
This 222-nucleotide ribosomal RNA is filed under the name Staphylococcus arlettae. RNAcentral's name for it is "partial 16S ribosomal RNA". It matches the Rfam family "Bacterial small subunit ribosomal RNA", at positions 1 to 218 of the family's 1533-position model. Lineage: Bacteria; Bacillati; Bacillota; Bacilli; Caryophanales; Staphylococcaceae. The record is from RNAcentral.